RNAcentral lists this transfer RNA (134 nucleotides) under Xanthomonas sp. 4461. RNAcentral's name for it is "tRNA-Lys". Lineage: Bacteria; Pseudomonadati; Pseudomonadota; Gammaproteobacteria; Lysobacterales; Lysobacteraceae. The record is from RNAcentral.
GGGCAGUCCAGUGGUAACAAGGGCUGUCUAACCGGUUUCGGGAAAGAUGGUGGAGGUAAGUGGUUGAUAAAUAGGGAUAAUCGUGAUGACUUUUAAUCUUUUGGUCGAUGGUUCGAAUCCAUCACGGCCCACCA